AGAGAGAGACAUGCGUGCAUAUCAAUAAGCGGAGGAAAAGAAACUAACAAGGAUUCCCUUAGUAACGGCGAGUGAAGCGGGAAGAGCUCAAAUUUGAAAUCUUCAAGGUUUUACCUUGACGAAUUGUAGUUUAAAGAAGUGUUUUCUGCUGAAGUUUUGGUAAAAGUUCUUUGGAAUAGGACAUCAUAGAGGGUGAGAAUCCCGUAUUUGACCAUUAUUUUCAGCUUUGUGAUACACUUUCAAAGAGUCGGAUUGUUUGGGAAUGCAGUCCAAAAUGGGUGGUAAAUUUCAUCUAAAGCUAAAUAUUGGCGAGAGACCGAUAGCGAACAAGUACCGUGAGGGAAAGAUGAAAAGAACUUUGAAAAGAGAGUUAAACAGUACGUGAAAUUGUCAAAAGGGAAGCGUUUGACACCAGUGUUGUUUUCUCGAAAAUCAAUUAAAAAUGGCUCGAUUUGUAUUGUUGAGACCUUAAAAGCUCACUGUACAUUUUUCGUGUCUUUUUUAAUGCACUUUUCGUUUAACAAGUCAACAUCAGUUUCUUUUGUUGUAAAAGGGUCAUUGGAAGGUGGCUUUCUUUUCGGAGAAAGUGUUUAUAGCCUUUGGCCUCUGCAAUCGAAGAGACUGAGGUCUGCAGCGUAGACUCUUCGGGGUUAGAUACAUUUGUGCUAAGUUAUAGCCUUUUCAUAGACAACUUGUUGACUAUAAUCAGUCAUGUAGCUUACUCGCUUAUGCUAUUUUACCUACGCUUAGGAUGUUGAGUCGUAGAGCACGCAG
This 774-nucleotide ribosomal RNA is filed under the name uncultured Neocallimastigales. RNAcentral's name for it is "partial large subunit ribosomal RNA". It matches the Rfam family "Eukaryotic large subunit ribosomal RNA", at positions 23 to 634 of the family's 3401-position model. Lineage: Eukaryota; Fungi; Neocallimastigomycota; Neocallimastigomycetes; Neocallimastigales. The record is from RNAcentral.